UUUGGGGUGGCUCGAGUGGCGAACGGGUGAGUAACACGUGAGUAACCUGCCCUUGACUUUGGGAUAACUUCAGGAAACUGGGGCUAAUACCGGAUAGGAGCUCCUGCUGCAUGGUGGGGGUUGGGAAAGUUUCGGCGGUUGGGGAUGGACUCGCGGCUUAUCAGCUUGUUGGUGGGGUAGUGGCUUACCAAGGCUUUGACGGGUAGCCGGCCUGAGAGGGUGACCGGCCACAUUGGGACUGAGAUACGGCCCAG
RNAcentral lists this ribosomal RNA (254 nucleotides) under uncultured Actinomycetales bacterium. RNAcentral's name for it is "partial 16S ribosomal RNA". It matches the Rfam family "Bacterial small subunit ribosomal RNA", at positions 80 to 334 of the family's 1533-position model. The record is from RNAcentral. Lineage: Bacteria; Bacillati; Actinomycetota; Actinomycetes; Actinomycetales.